RNAcentral lists this unclassified non-coding RNA (352 nucleotides) under soil metagenome. RNAcentral describes it as "partial contains 5.8S ribosomal RNA, internal transcribed spacer 2, and large subunit ribosomal RNA". The stretch from base 1 to 120 matches the Rfam family "5.8S ribosomal RNA", at positions 35 to 154 of the family's 154-position model. The record is from RNAcentral.
GAUGAAGAACGUAGCGAAAUGCGAUAAGUAAUGUGAAUUGCAGAAUUCAGUGAAUCAUCGAAUCUUUGAACGCACAUUGCGCCCGCCAGUAUUCUGGCGGGCAUGCCUGUUCGAGCGUCAUUACAACCCUCAGGCCCCCGGGCCUGGCGUUGGGGAUCGGCGGAGCCCCCCGUGGGCACACGCCGUCCCCCAAAUACAGUGGCGGUCCCGCCGCAGCUUCCAUCGCGUAGUAGCUAACACCUCGCGACUGGAGAGCGGCGCGGCCACGCCGUAAAACACCCAACUCUUCUGAAGUUGACCUCGAAUCACGUAGGAAUACCCGCUGAACUUAAGCAUAUCAAUAAGCGGAGGA